This 64-nucleotide ribosomal RNA is filed under the name Simplicillium lamellicola. RNAcentral describes it as "partial 28S ribosomal RNA". It matches the Rfam family "Eukaryotic large subunit ribosomal RNA", at positions 1 to 62 of the family's 3401-position model. RNAcentral also lists the same sequence under 1 other name. The record is from RNAcentral. Lineage: Eukaryota; Fungi; Ascomycota; Sordariomycetes; Hypocreales; Cordycipitaceae.
GUUGACCUCGAAUCAGGUAGGACUACCCGCUGAACUUAAGCAUAUCAAUAAGCGGAGGAAAAGA